RNAcentral lists this ribosomal RNA (253 nucleotides) under uncultured Eubacteriales bacterium. RNAcentral describes it as "uncultured Clostridiales bacterium partial 16S ribosomal RNA". It matches the Rfam family "Bacterial small subunit ribosomal RNA", at positions 524 to 776 of the family's 1533-position model. Lineage: Bacteria; Bacillati; Bacillota; Clostridia; Eubacteriales. The record is from RNAcentral.
UACGUAGGUGGCAAGCGUUGUCCGGAUUUACUGGGUGUAAAGGGCGCGUAGGCGGGUUUUUAAGUCAGGUGUGAAAUCCCUCGGCUCAACCGAGGAACUGCACUUGAAACUGGAGAUCUUGAGUGUCGGAGAGGGAAGCGGAAUUCCUAGUGUAGCGGUGAAAUGCGUAGAUAUUAGGAGGAACACCAGUGGCGAAGGCGGCUUUCUGGACGAUAACUGACGCUGAGGCGCGAAAGCGUGGGGAGCAAACAGG